GAUGAACGCUAGCGGCAGGCUUAACACAUGCAAGUCGAGGGGUAUUGGUUUUCGGACCAAGAGACCGGCGCACGGGUGCGUAACGCGUAUGCAAUCUACCUUUUGCAGAGGGAUAGCCCCAGAGAAAUUUGGAUUAAUACCUCAUAGUAUAGUACUUUGGCAUCAAGGAACUAUUAAAGUCACAACGGCAAAGAUGAGCAUGCGUCCCAUUAGCUAGUUGGUAAGGUAACGGCUUACCAAGGCUACGAUGGGUAGGGGUUCUGAGAGGGAGAUCCCCCACACUGGUACUGAGACACGGACCAGACUCCUACGGGAGGCAGCAGUGAGGAAUAUUGGACAAUGGGCGGCAAGCCUGAUCCAGCCAUGCCGCGUGCAGGAUGACGGUCCUAUGGAUUGUAAACUGCUUUAUACAGGAGAAACACUCCGACGUGUCGGAGCUUGACGGUACUGUAAGAAUAAGGAUCGGCUAACUCCGUGCCAGCAG
RNAcentral lists this ribosomal RNA (484 nucleotides) under uncultured bacterium. Its description in RNAcentral is "bacterial SSU rRNA". It matches the Rfam family "Bacterial small subunit ribosomal RNA", at positions 28 to 514 of the family's 1533-position model. The record is from RNAcentral.